GGACUACACGGGUAUCUAAUCCUGUUUGCUCCCCACGCUUUCGCGCCUCAGCGUCAGUAUUUGGCCAGGUAGCUGCCUUCGCCAUUGACGUUCCUUCCGAUCUCUACGCAUUUCACCGCUACACCGGAAAUUCCGCUACCCUCUCCAAUACUCCAGUCAUGAAGUUUGCGAUGCUCUUCCUAGGUUAAGCCCAGGGCUUUCACAUCACACUCUCAUAACCGCCUACGCGCCCUUUACGCCCAGUAAUUCCGAUUAACGCUCGCACCCUCUGUAUUACCGCGGCUGCUGGCAC
Molecule: ribosomal RNA, 292 nt
Filed under: uncultured bacterium
Lineage: Bacteria
Description: partial 16S ribosomal RNA
Source: RNAcentral